Homo sapiens (human) is the source of this 1041-nucleotide long non-coding RNA. RefSeq annotates it as CFLAR antisense RNA 1. Lineage: Eukaryota; Metazoa; Chordata; Mammalia; Primates; Hominidae. The record is from RefSeq and is marked validated. The transcript is spliced from 7 exons.
CAUGCAUACAGCCCAGUCUAACGUACAGGAUCAAAAAGAGACCUUAUUUCGGCUGGCAAUUACCUUACCCGCUUGUUCAUUAUCUGACUCCUGCACUCCUCCCAAGUGUUCAAUGUUAACCAGAUGGCAAAGUUAACCAGACAGAGGAAAUCCACAUAAUUACUCUAGAUGAAGCCCCCUAACUGCGGAUUAGAAGGAAAAGAGAUGAAGGGUGCUGCACUAAUAAUAACAACCAUUUUCAACCAAGGCAGGAUUCUGGGCCUAGAAUCUUCAGUGACAAAUUACCAGGAGAGGAGGAGGGAAAUGAAGAGCUGGAGGCCUAGGGAGAUGGUGUGAGGAGAGGAGACUGUGCCUUUCCACUUCUUAAUAAUUAAUGUUCUCCUGCUGCUCUGAGUCUGCAUCACCAGUGAUUCAGUUUGAGUCAGACAUCCAACAACAACUGAGCAAAAGAAUCAUCUCAGAUCCAAGCAAUGGUGACGCGCAGAUAGAAGAGACUGAGGCCAACGACCAAAGCAAAGGACAGCAGAACUGACUGACACAGCUCAGAAAAUAUCCAAAGCUCUGUAUGCUCUGGAAAGGAAGACAAGAAAUGCUAAAGACUCUGGAUAUUGCUCUGUUUCUAUAAGGUCCCACCCAUAUACCAUCUCUUCUUUUGGAUUUCCUUUGGCAGGGUUCCCUUGUAUGGAAGUUCUCAGGAGAACAACACUCUCAGAGUCCCACUGUCUCAAAGAAUUCUUAAUGGACAGCUAUACUUGGCCCCAAGGUUUCAACCUCACACUGAAGAAAGUGACAUAAGAAAACACAAGUCCCAGUGCUAUCAGGGGCUAUCUGGAAAAGCUGCUUAAACAGCAAGUGAAAGAAGGCUCUCCCCUACCCCGUUCUAGACUCACCCUGAAGUUAUUUGAAGGAUCCUUGAGACUCUUUUGGAUUGCUGCUUGGAGAACAUUCCUGUAACUUGUCCCUGCUCCUUGAACUAUAAAAGCAGAAGGGAGGUACUGAGUUAAAACUUACAAAUUAUUAUCAAAUAAAUCUUCAAUAGUG